GAUGAACGCUAGCGAUAGGCCUAACACAUGCAAGUCGAGGGGCAUCACAUGAAGUAGCAAUACGGAUGGUGGCGACCGGCGCACGGGUGAGUAACACGUAUGCAACCUGCCUUCAACAAGGGGAUAACCCGUUGAAAGACGGACUAAUACCCUAUAACACAGGGGUCCCGCAUGGGAAUAUUUGUUAAAGGACAACCGGUUGAAGAUGGGCAUGCGUUCCAUUAGCUAGUUGGCGGGGUAACGGCCCACCAAGGCAACGAUGGAUAGGGGAACUGAGAGGUUUGUCCCCCACACUGGAACUGAGACACGGACCAGACUCCUACGGGAGGCAGCAGUGAGGAAUAUUGGUCAAUGGGCGAGAGCCUGAACCAGCCAAGUCGCGUGAAGGAAGACUGCCUUAUGGGUUGUAAACUUCUUUAUACAGGAAUAAAGUGCCCCACGCGUGGGGUUUUGCAUGUACCGUAUGAAUAAGGAUCGGCUAACUCCGUGCCAGCAGCCGCGAU
This 503-nucleotide ribosomal RNA is filed under the name uncultured bacterium. Its description in RNAcentral is "bacterial SSU rRNA". It matches the Rfam family "Bacterial small subunit ribosomal RNA", at positions 28 to 521 of the family's 1533-position model. The record is from RNAcentral.